UACGAAGGGGGCUAGCGUUGUUCGGAAUCACUGGGCGUAAAGCGCACGCAGGCGGCUUGAUAAGUCGGGGGUGAAAUCCCGGGGCUCAACCUCGGAAUUGCCUUCGAUACUGUCUGUCUUGAGUCCGGGAGAGGUGAGUGGAACUCCGAGUGUAGAGGUGAAAUUCGUAGAUAUUCGGAAGAACACCAGUGGCGAAGGCGGCUCACUGGCCCGGUACUGACGCUGAGGUGCGAAAGCGUGGGGAGCAAACAGG
RNAcentral lists this ribosomal RNA (253 nucleotides) under uncultured bacterium. RNAcentral describes it as "partial 16S ribosomal RNA". It matches the Rfam family "Bacterial small subunit ribosomal RNA", at positions 524 to 776 of the family's 1533-position model. The record is from RNAcentral.